Dermacentor albipictus is the source of this 309-nucleotide long non-coding RNA. RefSeq lists it as uncharacterized. The record is from RefSeq and is a predicted model, not a curated record. Lineage: Eukaryota; Metazoa; Arthropoda; Arachnida; Ixodida; Ixodidae.
CAUUCCGGCGGGGUCGUGCACGCCGGUUGCUUGAAAGCUUCCUGCGUUUUCUGCGUUCUUUGUGUGCUUCGCUGUGACAUCUUUGCAAUAUUUCUGCGUGUUGCUCGCUUUUUAUGGGCUUGUUGCCUCGAAGAUCGCCGUGAUCGCCUCCGACUAAGCGACAUCAAAGAUUCAAAGUGAGCUGGGAGACGCCCCAGCUGGAACGCUAAAGGUUCACAUAGGUUGAAGGAGUGCACAUUGAGAAGGUUAUCCUGGCACAGCUUACCAUGGCCUGCCAUGGUGGACCAGGAAAGUUUGCAAGGGCCUUGC